Puntigrus tetrazona (Sumatra barb) is the source of this 1911-nucleotide long non-coding RNA. RefSeq lists it as uncharacterized. The record is from RefSeq and is a predicted model, not a curated record. The transcript has 3 exons. NCBI's taxonomy places the organism in Eukaryota, Metazoa, Chordata, Actinopteri, Cypriniformes, Cyprinidae.
UAAAAGCAACCCAUUUAUUAUCUUUCUCCCAUCGAAACCAAACAACUCUGAUUUCAUGUUGCAUCUCUGCAUUAUGUAGACAAAUGUAGACAAAGCGCCCGACCGAAAGGAAGCACUAAUCGCUAUAAAGGUACGUCAAGACAUUUAGGGAAACCCUGUGUCGCUUAUGUGAUGAAAACCCAACACUGAAUAUGACUUUGAAAGAUUUCUUCUUCUUCUGUGGUGCAUUAACAACAUAUUAGUGCACUGCUUCCCAAUCGGUUCCUUUGUGGCCAAGCAGUUUAAAUAGUUUGAUCUGCCUUAAAAGUUUGGGUUAUUUAACAAAACCUAGCAAGUGUAACAACUAAGUGCAGCUCACUAACCACAACUAAGUAACGUAAACCACUGGAUGUUACGGCGAACAAACGCUUAUUUAAUCGCAUGAUAAGGGAGAGCGUAGCCUGCUGUAAUAAAAGCUGUUCGCAUUGUUCGCACGCUUUAUUUAUUAUGUCUUAAAAAACGCUAAUCUUUACAUCUCCAUUGCCUCGCACGCUCAAGACGCCCUGAUGUUUACGACCACAGUGUGAAUGUUUUGGCGAGCUCCCUUAAGAAGAGUUCGACGCCUGCUUGCUACGGGCCGGAGAACACGUAGACCCCGGCUGCAAACAGAGACACGGUUCUAGAUCAAGUUACGGGACAUCCCAGGGCCUUUUUAAGCAGCGCCUGAAUGCAUUUGUUGGCGUUACGGAUCGAAGCGUUGUGCUGCUGUUCUUCUUCGGCUAUAAAAGGCUGUUCAGGGAGAAAACAAAACUCCAAUGCCCUGCAAUUUAUUGAUCGCAAUGCGUUUGGGAAAACACAGCAAGGACGGCGGACCAAAACCAGAUGCGGAAAAUCUUGUUAAACGGAACAGUAGUGAUCUGAAACCAGACCGUGAGUAUUUAACAGCUCUGAUUGGAGUAACUUGGAGUUCAACACUUUUAACCAGCGUGCAGCAAAUCAUCCAGGACACAAAGCUAGGUGUCUGUGAGGGUAAUACGCAGCAGCCUAUUAUUUUUUGCAUCUUUCAGUCUCUCAAGACGCCGAAGGACCCGAUGCGUCCAAGACGAGCGUAUCAUAAAUCUCUGUGAAUCUCUCCUGUUUCUUCACACGGAGAUGCAAGAGUUAAUUGCUUCCAGACAACGGCUCCGUCCAAUCAGGAGCUUGAUCCACAUCCUGGUCUUACGCCAGAUAACACCACCACGAUUCACAAAAAAUACUGAAAUGUUGAGUUCGGCUCCAGCUCUUCGGCGUGGUAUGAAAAGCACGCUUGUUAUUUAGUAGAGAGCAUGUGUCCAGUUUACUCUGAAGUGAAGAAAUUUGUGUAUUUAACUGCUUGUGCUUGUGCUGUAUUUUCAACUUGAUUGCAUUGUGUUUCAGGGUUAACGGGGUUGUCCAGUUUUACAGUUUACACGGAGACUAGGUCUUAGGUCUAAAAAAAUGUAAUUAUUGUCUGUUUAGGGAGUUUAUCUUACAAUAAAGUGUCUUUAGAAUAGUAGUUGGGAGAAAACCCAGAGACAACAGCUUUAUAAAGCCACUGCUGUCUCUUGUCAUGAAUGUGAAAUACAGAUUAAAGAUACAGGAUUAAUUUGUAUUCAUGCAAAACACGCUUUUGCCCGUAAUUUAUUGAUUGCAGAUAGUUUACAUGCAUUUUGAUUUUAAUUUUAUGUUCGAAUCUCGAAGUCGGAGCCGUGUCUUUAAAUAUAAUGUGUAUAUGUAAAUAUUGUGCGUGCUUUAUGUGCUUUGCAUCUUUAAAUUGAUUUGUAAAAAUAACACCAUGACGUUUCAGAUGAUAAACACAUGUCACAUGACCAAAGGCGUGGUAAUAAACACACGUCAUAUAUUUUUCGUACACUGAAUAUUGUAAAAAAAUAAAGGUUUAUCAUAACUCCCUGA